RNAcentral lists this ribosomal RNA (1050 nucleotides) under uncultured eukaryote. RNAcentral's name for it is "SSU rRNA". It matches the Rfam family "Eukaryotic small subunit ribosomal RNA", at positions 627 to 1695 of the family's 1831-position model. The record is from RNAcentral.
CUCGUAGUUGGAUUUCUGUGGGGGCGGAGCGGCCGGCCGCAACUUGCGGUUCGAGCUAGCGCUUCCCCUACAUCCUGCCGCGAACCGUGCUACCAUUAGUUUGGUGGCGCCGGGGAUCGGCUCGUUUACUUUGAGAAAAAUAGAGUGUUCAAAGCAGGCCACACGCCUUGAAUAAGUUAGCAUGGAAUAAUAAUAAAGGACUUCGGUUCUAUUUUGUUGGUGUUCGGGACUGAAGUAAUGAUUGAUAGGGACAGUUGGGGCGGUCAGUAUUCCAAAGCGAGAGGUGAAAUUCUUAGACCUUCGGAAGACUAACAGCUGCGAAAGCGUUCCGCAAGGAUGUUCCCUUUGAUCAAGAACGAAAGUUGGGGGAUCGAAGACGAUCAGAUACCGUCGUAGUCUCAACUAUAAACUAUACCAGCUAGGGAUCGGCCAACGUUAAAUUAUUCGACUUGGUCGGCACCUUAUGAGAAAUCAAAGCAUCUGGGUUCCGGGGGGAGUAUGGUCGCAAGGCUGAAACUUAAAGGAAUUGACGGAAGAGCACCACCAGCCGUGGAGCCUGUGGCUUAAUUUGACUCAACACGGGAAAACUUACCAGGUCCAGACACAGUAAGGAUUGACAGAUUGAUAGCCCUUUCUUGAUUCUGUGGGUGGUGGUGCAUGGCCGUUCUUAGUUGGUGGAGUGAUUUGUCUGGUUAAUUCCGUUAACGAACGAGACCCCAGCCUGCUAAAUAGCGCGGUUGAGCUUUGCUCGGCGCGAGCUUCUUAGAGGGACUAUGAUGCGCGAUAGCACAUGGAAGUUUGGGGCAAUAACAGGUCUGUGAUGCCCUUAGAUGUUCUGGGCCGCACACGGGCUACACUGGCGCCUGCAACGAGCAUAUCAGCUGGCCCGAGAGGGUCUUGGCUAAUCUUUUGAACCGGCGCCGUGCUUGGGAUUGACCAUUGCAAUUGUUGGUCAUGCAACGAGGAAUGCCUUGUAAACGCGAGUCAUCAACUCGCAUUGAAUACGUCCCUGCCCUUUGUACACACCGCCCGUCGCUCUACCGAUGAAUG